GGGGGUUUAGCUCAGUUGGUAGAGCGUUAGAUUUGCAUUCUAAAGGUCAGCGGUUCGAUCCCGCUAACCUCCACCA
This 76-nucleotide transfer RNA is filed under the name Oligoflexus sp. Its description in RNAcentral is "tRNA-Ala". It matches the Rfam family "tRNA". Rfam says of the family: Transfer RNA (tRNA) molecules are approximately 80 nucleotides in length. Lineage: Bacteria; Pseudomonadati; Bdellovibrionota; Oligoflexia; Oligoflexales; Oligoflexaceae. The record is from RNAcentral. RNAcentral also lists the same sequence under 2 other names.